RNAcentral lists this long non-coding RNA (1433 nucleotides) under Rattus norvegicus (Norway rat). Its description in RNAcentral is "long non-coding RNA NONRATT018674". The record is from RNAcentral. Lineage: Eukaryota; Metazoa; Chordata; Mammalia; Rodentia; Muridae.
GGCCCAAGCCAGGCACAACUUACUCCAAUCCCUCCUCCUUUUUUUAAGUUAUUUCACAGAAGAUACCCUAAUUUAUGACCAGAGACUUUGAGGAAACAGGAGAGGGUCCGCUGAUGGCAGGAAGUAUUGGGUUUGUUUUGUUUGGGAGUGAUUCCUAGGUUACCGGGUUUGGGAAAUGGUUUAAUUUGAGGGGGUUCAUUGUUUCUUUACUUUUCUUUCAGAGACAGAGGACUCCCCUCGAGUCUUCUCUCACUGGGCUCUGGCUUAAUAGAUGGUCCACAGAUUGUACUGUCUCCUGGGGGAGAAUCCAGGCACGUUGGGAAUUUAAUAAUUAGUUGGGAAACCACUGAGCGAGACCACCAGGAAUAGAUGCAUGACAUGACAUUUUUCUGCUCAAGGACACAUCACUAAAGUCCUGAAGGCUUCACCUGGGGGUGGGGGGUGUAAGGUGUUAGAGGAAGAAACCUGCUUCUCACAUGUUCACUAUGCCCAUCUCCCUCCCAACUAGGUUCUUUCUAGUUUUUCAAGCAAUAGUUCUCGCCUGCCUAAGGCCUUUGACAGGAAGACCCUGACUAACUGUAAGGCACCAGGCAGUCAACGACAGAAACUUCCCCAGUGUGUGAGUCCUUGACAUGUGCUCUUGUUGCUUGGCAUUUGUGGUGACAGGGAGUGACCCCAGAGGCUAUCACUGUGCUCUGGACAGAAGUUACAGACACUGGUUUCUUGGAAAAUGAAGAGAAGCACAUUUUGCACAGAUGUCGUCAAUGAAGUCCCAAUUUGCCACUUGGUAUCGAGUACACUGGACCCUGACAGCUGGCUCUUGAGCAAACAUCCUUCCUCACAGGAUGCCACCAAUAAGCUAGCCAGUUUCAUCCCUCCCGUCCCAGAGGGAUGGCCAGGGAGGGAGGAAGCAGAGAACUGCUGCAUUGAAAACCACAGAAUGGGUUCACCUCAGACUGGCUCAAGGGCACAAGUUAUUGUGAACAUUUCGCCAAUCACUGCUCAACCGCCCUGCUAGAUUUUUCUAUGAUGCUGAAUUAUUAUGCAGAAUAACUCCACCAAGUUGAGAUACACCCAUGCUUGUUACACUUGUAUUUAUUGAAACUGUGGAUUCUUGCCCGCCCGUGCUCUCCCUUGUAUUUACUUUAAGCACUGAUCACUUAUCAUCCACUCGGUAUGGUUUUCCCAGUCCCUUGUACACAUCCUGGUUUGAAUUGUAAAAAAUAACCUGCUACAGACUGGUUGAACGUUUCUGUCUGAGCUGCAAGCCAAGGGGUGGCGUCAACCGAGGACCAGGAGUGGAAAUCACCCAUUUGGGCUCUCAGAGCUAAGACACACUUACUGAUUUGGUUGCACAUUUUGCACUGGUUUAUGGCGAUUGUUUUCUUGGACGAAUGGUGUAAAAUAAACUUCUCUGUUCUGUAUCCUCCCUC